GACGAACGCUGGCGGCGUGCCUAAUACAUGCAAGUCGAGCGAAGCGGCGGAUGGGUGAGUAAUGCGUGGGUAACCUGUCCUUAAGUCUGGAAUACUAUAUGGAAACAGAUGCUCAUACCGGAUACUAAAGGAAGGACCUGCGAUGCAUUAGUUAGUUGGUAAGGUAACGGCUCACCAAGGCGAUGAUGCAUAGCCGAGUUGAGGGACUGAUCGGCCACAUUGGGACUGAGACACGGCCCAAACUCCUACGGGAGGCAGCAGUAGGGAAUCUUCCACAAUGGACGAAAGUCUGAUGGAGCAACGCCGCGUGAGUGAAGAAGGUUUUCGGAUCGUAAAGCUCUGUUGUUGGUGAAGCGGUAAUCAACCAGAAAGUCACGGCUAACUACGUGCCAGCAGCCGCGGUAAUUC
RNAcentral lists this ribosomal RNA (408 nucleotides) under uncultured bacterium. Its description in RNAcentral is "partial 16S ribosomal RNA". It matches the Rfam family "Bacterial small subunit ribosomal RNA", at positions 28 to 526 of the family's 1533-position model. The record is from RNAcentral.